Molecule: ribosomal RNA, 470 nt
Filed under: uncultured bacterium
Lineage: Bacteria
Description: bacterial SSU rRNA
Rfam family: Bacterial small subunit ribosomal RNA
Source: RNAcentral
AACGAACGCUGGCGGCGUGCCUAACACAUGCAAGUCGAACGAGAAAGUCCCCUUCGGGGGGCGAGUAAAGUGGCGCAAGGGUGAGUAACACGUGAAUAAUCUACCACCGAAUCUGGGAUAACUCAGCGAAAGUUGGGCUAAUACCAGAUAAGACCACGUCUCUCAUGAGAUGCGGGAAAAGGAGCCUCAACCUCCGUUUGGUGAUGAGUUCGCGGACCAUUAGCUAGUUGGUGAGAUAAAAGCUCACCAAGGCGACGAUGGUUAGCCGGCCUGAGAGGGUGAUCGGCCACACUGGAACUGAGACACGGUCCAGACUCCUACGGGAGGCAGCAGUGGGGAAUAUUGCGCAAUGGGCGAAAGCCUGACGCAGCAACGCCGCGUGAGGGAUGAAGGCUUUCGGGUCGUAAACCUCUGUCGAAUGGGAAGAAAUCUUGACGGUACCAUUAAAGGAAGCCCCGGCUAACUUCGUG